CCCUGAUGCACAAGGUACCUUAAUGAACUUUUUAACUUUUAAAAAUUUUUAAAACUUUUAAAUUCCCCUUUUCAGUUAAUUUAGUAAUAAAUUUUUAUUAAAUACAAAAAUAAUAUAAUUUUUUAAAAAAUCGUUAACAAUUUUUAAAUUUUUCAAA
This 157-nucleotide ribosomal RNA is filed under the name Ixodes granulatus. Its description in RNAcentral is "partial 16S ribosomal RNA". Lineage: Eukaryota; Metazoa; Arthropoda; Arachnida; Ixodida; Ixodidae. The record is from RNAcentral.